RNAcentral lists this ribosomal RNA (253 nucleotides) under uncultured bacterium. RNAcentral's name for it is "partial 16S ribosomal RNA". It matches the Rfam family "Bacterial small subunit ribosomal RNA", at positions 524 to 776 of the family's 1533-position model. The record is from RNAcentral.
UACAGAGGGGGCAAGCGUUGUUCGGAAUUAUUGGGCGUAAAGGGCUCGUAGGCGGUUUGUCGCGUCGGGAGUGAAAACACCGGGCUUAACUCGGUGCUUGCUUUCGAUACGGGCAGACUUGAGGCAUGCAGGGGAGAACGGAAUUCCUGGUGUAGCGGUGGAAUGCGCAGAUAUCAGGAGGAACACCGGUGGCGAAGGCGGGUCUCUGGGCAGUAACUGACGCUGAGGAGCGAAAGCGUGGGGAGCGAACAGG